CGGGUGAGUAACACGUAUCAACCUGCCCUUUACUCGGGGAUAGCCUUUCGAAAGAAAGAUUAAUACCCGAUGGCAUAACAUAACCUCCUGGUUUUGUUAUUAAAGAAUUUCGGUAGAGGAUGGGGAUGCGUUCCAUUAGGCAGUUGGCGGGGUAACGGCCCACCAAACCUUCGAUGGAUAGGGGUUCUGAGAGGAAGGUCCCCCACAUUGGAACUGAGACACGGUCCAAACUCCUACGGGAGGCAGCAGUGAGGAAUAUUGGUCAAUGGGCGAGAGCCUGAACCAGCCAAGUAGCGUGAAGGAUGACCGCCCUAUGGGUUGUAAACUUCUUUAAUAUGGGAAUAAAGUUUGCCACGUGUGGCAUUUGGUAUGUACCAUAUGAAUAAGGAUCGGCUAACUCCGUGCCCAGCAUCCGCGGUAAUCCGGAGAAUCCGAGCGUUAUCCGGAUUUAUUGGGUUUAAAGGGAGCGUAGGUGAACAUGUAAGUCAGUUGUGAAAGUUUCCGGCUCAACCGUAAAAUUGCAGUUGAUACUGCGUGUCUUGAGUACAGUAGAGGUGGCCGGAAUUCGUGGUGUAGCGGUGAAAUGCUUAGAUAUCACGAAGAACUCCGAUUGCGAAGGCAGCUCACUGGACUGCAACUGACACUGAUGCUCGAA
RNAcentral lists this ribosomal RNA (655 nucleotides) under uncultured Bacteroidales bacterium. RNAcentral describes it as "bacterial SSU rRNA". It matches the Rfam family "Bacterial small subunit ribosomal RNA", at positions 103 to 757 of the family's 1533-position model. Lineage: Bacteria; Pseudomonadati; Bacteroidota; Bacteroidia; Bacteroidales. The record is from RNAcentral.